RNAcentral lists this ribosomal RNA (692 nucleotides) under uncultured Pseudomonadota bacterium. Its description in RNAcentral is "bacterial SSU rRNA". It matches the Rfam family "Bacterial small subunit ribosomal RNA", at positions 28 to 709 of the family's 1533-position model. The record is from RNAcentral. Lineage: Bacteria; Pseudomonadati; Pseudomonadota.
AUUGAACGCUGGCGGCAGGCCUAACACAUGCAAGUCGAACGGUAACAGGAAACAGCUUGCUGUUUCGCUGACGAGUGGCGGACGGGUGAGUAAUGUCUGGGAAACUGCCUGAUGGAGGGGGAUAACUACUGGAAACGGUAGCUAAUACCGCAUAACGUCGCAAGACCAAAGAGGGGGACCCUCGGGCCUCUUGCCAUCGGAUGUGCCCAGAUGGGAUUAGCUUGUUGGUGGGGUAACGGCUCACCAAGGCGACGAUCCCUAGCUGGUCUGAGAGGAUGACCAGCCACACUGGAACUGAGACACGGUCCAGACUCCUACGGGAGGCAGCAGUGGGGAAUAUUGCACAAUGGGCGCAAGCCUGAUGCAGCCAUGCCGCGUGUAUGAAGAAGGCCUUCGGGUUGUAAAGUACUUUCAGCGGGGAGGAAGGGAGUAAAGUUAAUACCUUUGCUCAUUGACGUUACCCGCAGAAGAAGCACCGGCUAACUCCGUGCCAGCAGCCGCGGUAAUACGGAGGGUGCAAGCGUUAAUCGGAAUUACUGGGCGUAAAGCGCACGCAGGCGGUUUGUUAAGUCAGAUGUGAAAUCCCCGGGCUCAACCUGGGAACUGCAUCUGAUACUGGCAAGCUUGAGUCUCGUAGAGGGGGGUAGAAUUCCAGGUGUAGCGGUGAAAUGCGUAGAGAUCUGGAGGAAUAC